Molecule: ribosomal RNA, 1440 nt
Filed under: uncultured organism
Description: SSU rRNA
Rfam family: Bacterial small subunit ribosomal RNA
Source: RNAcentral
AGGCUUAACACAUGCAAGUCGAGGGGCAGCAUGGUCUUAGCUUGCUAAGGCCGAUGGCGACCGGCGCACGGGUGAGUAACGCGUAUCCAACCUGCCUUACACUCUUGGACAGCCUUCUGAAAGGGAGAUUAAUACAAGAUGUUAUCAUGAGUAAGCAUUUUCACAUGAUUAAAGGUUUACCGGUGUAAGAUGGGGAUGCGUUCCAUUAGAUAGUAGGCGGGGUAACGGCCCACCUAGUCUUCGAUGGAUAGGGGUUCUGAGAGGAAGGUCCCCCACAUUGGAACUGAGACACGGUCCAAACUCCUACGGGAGGCAGCAGUGAGGAAUAUUGGUCAAUGGACGAGAGUCUGAACCAGCCAAGUAGCGUGAAGGAUGAAGGUUCUAUGGAUUGUAAACUUCUUUUAUACGGGAAUAAACGGAUCCACGUGUGGAUUUUUGCAUGUACCGUAUGAAUAAGGAUCGGCUAACUCCGUGCCAGCAGCCGCGGUAAUACGGAGGAUCCGAGCGUUAUCCGGAUUUAUUGGGUUUAAAGGGAGCGUAGAUGGGUUGUUAAGUCAGUUGUGAAAGUUUGCGGCUCAACCGUAAAAUUGCAAUUGAUACUGGCAGUCUUGAGUACAGUUGAGGUAGGCGGAAUUCGUGGUGUGGCGGUGAAAUGCUUAGAUAUCACGAAGAACUCCGAUUGCGAAGGCAGCUUACUAACCUGUAACUGACAUUGAUGCUCGAAAGUGUGGGUAUCAAACAGGAUUAGAUACCCUGGUAGUCCACACGGUAAACGAUGAAUACUCGCUGUAGGCGAUAUACAGUCUGCGGCCAAGCGAAAGCAUUAAGUAUUCCACCUGGGGAGUACGCCGGCAACGGUGAAACUCAAAGGAAUUGACGGGGGCCCGCACAAGCGGAGGAACAUGUGGUUUAAUUCGAUGAUACGCGAGGAACCUUACCCGGGCUUAAAUUGCAACCGAAUAUGGCGGAAACGCUAUAGCUAGCAAUAGCGGUUGUGAAGGUGCUGCAUGGUUGUCGUCAGCUCGUGCCGUGAGGUGUCGGCUUAAGUGCCAUAACGAGCGCAACCCUUGCCGAUAGUUACUAACAGGUCAUGCUGAGGACUCUGUCGGGACUGCCAUCGUAAGAUGUGAGGAAGGUGGGGAUGACGUCAAAUCAGCACGGCCCUUACGUCCGGGGCUACACACGUGUUACAAUGGGGGGUACAGAGGGCUGCUACCACGCAAGUGGAUGCCAAUCCCAAAAACCUCUCUCAGUUCGGAUUGAAGUCUGCAACCCGACUUCAUGAAGCUGGAUUCGCUAGUAAUCGCGCAUCAGCCACGGCGCGGUGAAUACGUUCCCGGGCCUUGUACACACCGCCCGUCAAGCCAUGGGAGCCGGGGGUACCUGAAGUGCGUAACAGCAAGGAGCGCCCUAGGGUAAAACUGGUGACUGGGGCUAAGA